Leopardus geoffroyi (Geoffroy's cat) is the source of this 999-nucleotide long non-coding RNA. RefSeq lists it as uncharacterized. The transcript has 2 exons. NCBI's taxonomy places the organism in Eukaryota, Metazoa, Chordata, Mammalia, Carnivora, Felidae. The record is from RefSeq and is a predicted model, not a curated record.
AUUCAGCACAGAACCCGACGCAGGGCUCAAACCCACGAACCAUGAGAUCAUGACCUGAGCCAAAGUCAGACACUUAACUGACUGAGCCACCCAGGCGCCCCUGUCAUUUAAGUAUUUACUAGAUGUGUUAGGAACAUGAGAGCCGAAAAGGAGCCAGUGUGGUAUGUGGCUUGUGGAUAGAAUUUUUUUUCCCCCAUGUUUAAAAGUCUUUUCUCAUUACUAGAAAGAGUGGAUAAAAAAUCAGAAUGAAGGUAUAAAUGUAUUCUGACGUUGAUAGUUUGGAGCUGUUCCAAACUUUGCUGUUGUGACAUUAUCCCCGUGUUCUGGUGCUUAUGUGCAUUAAUUUCUGUGGGACGCAUCUUGUCUAGAAGUAGAAUUGCUGGAUUGUAAAACCUGUACAUCUUUAAUAGGUAGGACCAAAUAUUUAAGGGGCUGUAUCACAUUACACUUCUACAGCAGUAUUAGAGGUCUCAUUGCUCUGCAUUCUCAUCCACACUUAAUUUUGUUAGACUUGAAUUUUUGCUAAUCAGGUGGGUGUAGAAUAAAAUAGUAUAUCAUUAUGGUUUUGAUUUGUAUUUCCUUGACUACUAAGGAGAUUGAUAACCUUAUGUUUAUUGUCAAUUUAGAUAUCUUUUGUGAGGACUCUGUUCCAAACAUAAAUGUUUUGUUGUUACUAGGCAGUCUGUUAUUAGGUAGUCUGUAUUACUGAUUUUUUUAUAUUACUAAUUUUUUAGGAGUUCUAAUUGGGGGGCUUGGCCAUUUCAGUUAUGUGUAGAGAAAAUAUCUUUUAUAGCUUUUUUCAUGUUAUGAAUAAUAUUCUUAACCUUAAAACUAUCUGAGGUGAUGGAAGUUAACUUUUUGUGGUAAUCAUUUGUCAGUAUAUGUAUCUAUCAAAUCAUUAUGGUGUAUAGUUACACAGUAUAUGUCAAUUACAUCUCAAUAAAACAUGGCAUUGGCAGGGGAAAAACUUUUUCUGCCCAGAAUGCAUUAUUAUUUUAA